GACGAACGUUGGCGGCGUGCCUAAUACAUGCCAGUUGAGCGCUGAAGGUUGGUACUUGUACCAACUGGAUGAGCAGCGAACGGGUGAGUAACGCGUGGGGAAUCUGCCUUUGAGCGGGGGACAACAUUUGGAAACGAAUGCUAAUACCGCAUAAAAACUUUAAACACAAGUUUCAAGUUUGAAAGAUGCAAUUGCAUCACUCAAAGACGAUCCCGCGUUGUAUUAGCUAGUUGGUGAGGUAAAGGCUCACCAAGGCGAUGAUACAUAGCCGACCUGAGAGGGUGAUCGGCCACAUUGGGACUGAGACACGGCCCAAACUCCUACGGGAGGCAGCAGGAGGGAAUCUUCGGCAAUGGACGAAAGUCUGACCGAGCAACGCCGCGUGAGUGAAGAAGGUUUUCGGAUCGUAAAACUCUGUUGGUAGAGAAGAACGUUGGUGAGAGUGGAAAGCUCAUCAAGUGACGGUAACUACCCAGAAAGGGACGGCUAACUACGUG
Molecule: ribosomal RNA, 497 nt
Filed under: uncultured bacterium
Lineage: Bacteria
Description: partial 16S ribosomal RNA
Rfam family: Bacterial small subunit ribosomal RNA
Source: RNAcentral